Molecule: ribosomal RNA, 520 nt
Filed under: uncultured bacterium
Lineage: Bacteria
Description: bacterial SSU rRNA
Rfam family: Bacterial small subunit ribosomal RNA
Source: RNAcentral
AAUAGAUACCCCGGUAGUCCACGCUGUAAACGUUGGACACUAGGUGUGGCGGUCUGAUCAACGACUGCCGUGCCGAAGCUAACGCACUAAGUGUCCCGCCUGGGGAGUACGGCCGCAAGGCUAAAACUCAAAGGAAUUGACGGGUCCCCGCACAAGCGGCGGAGCAUGCGGCUUAAUUCGAUGCAACCCGAAGAACCUUACCUGGGUUUGACAUCAUGGGAAAAGCCGUGGAAACACGGUGUCCGUAAGGGCCCAUGACAGGUGGUGCAUGGCUGUCGUCAGCUCGUGUCGUGAGAUGUUGGGUUAAGUCCCGCAACGAGCGCAACCCUUGUCCUAUGUUGCCAGCGGUUCGGCCGGGGACUCAUAGGAGACUGCCGGGGAUAACUCGGAGGAAGGUGAGGACGAUGUCAAGUCAUCAUGCCCCUUAUAUCCAGGGCUGCACGCAUGCUACAAUGGUCGGUACAACGGGCAGCGAUCCUGCGAAGGUGAGCGAAUCCCACAAAGCCGGCCUCAGUUCGGA